RNAcentral lists this long non-coding RNA (7920 nucleotides) under Musa acuminata (dwarf banana). RNAcentral describes it as "long non-coding RNA (MACU_LNC000112)". The record is from RNAcentral. Lineage: Eukaryota; Viridiplantae; Streptophyta; Magnoliopsida; Zingiberales; Musaceae.
UGGCCACGUCGAUGGAUGCGGCGGUCAGGGACCCGACCGACGCUGAGGGAGCAAGGGAAUUGCAGAGAUCGGGGUACGAUGCUUUUUUGCAUUCGGAGGUGGCGUCGAAGAGGGAGCGGUCAUUGACGCGGCGGAGGACGCGAGCUUCUGUUAUGGUGGCCCCGAGAAGGAGGAGCAGAGCGGCAGGCAGGAUGAGUGGGAGAGAGGCGGUUUGGUGCUGUCGCCCCAUGGUGGCUCUCUUGGAGGGUUUGGAAACUGAGGAGAGCCAAAGAGCAGUGGAAGAGAAGAGGGAGGCGGAGGUUGGACAUAGAUUUGCAAGUGUUUAUAUAGGUGUGCGGAGAUGGAUGUGGCCAAAUGUACGUGAAGGAGAGAGGAGGAGGAGGGAAGAAGGAUCCGUUCUCCUGGUUUAUCUCCCAAACAUACGUGGGUGUAGGGCUGACCAUAAAUGUCGCUGUGGGUCCGACUUGGUCAGAGCUAAAAAAAAAAAUCAUAAGUAUUUUGUUUAUCCUCCCUAACGACUCACUCGUUGCUAUUUAAAUACCAGGAAGGAGGACUCCUGUCAUAAUAAAAUAGUUUUUUUUAUUUUUUUUAAUACUAUUUUUCUUUUUUCUCAUCUUAAUCUUCGACUCGUAUACAUUCUAACUCUUACGAACAGAGGAGGAUACAUUCAUAGUAUUAUAUCCCAUCUACUUUGUAGGUUUUUGAAUUUAGAGCACUUGGCUCAUAGCAUACCUCCACAUCAUCUACCUCAACUAUUCCAAGAGCGUACGUACAAGAAAGGGUCCAUAUUGGCUCCAAGAAGUCAAUCGGUUAUCAUAUGAGAUCCUAAACUUGCGAUAAUAAAAUGAUAAAUUAAUCAUGCUCUAAUCUCUUACGAGGUGGAUAUCCGAUAUCACAUGAAAGAAAAUUCAGAUUAAGCAUGCGCAUAUUUAGCUCGACAUCCUUAUAAGAAGAUGGUGUAUGAUGCAAAUACUAAUAAAUCUUUAGAGAUGAAUAAAAAAAAAAAUCCCAUCCGUAUAUACCCAAAAGAAAAACGCUAAGUUGCACAACAAUAAUGACUAUAAAAAUAAAUAAAUCUGCACAGGCGAAUUAUUUCAAUGAAUCACAAACAAACAAAGGCCUAAUGUGCAGGUAAUUAAUUCUAGACCACUAGAAUCUCAACCAUGUAUUCACAAACCCGAACACCAAGAGUCCGACAAUACAAAAAAUUCCCAAGAAUGUUUGCAUCGAAAAAAAUCAACACGGGAAAAGCCUGAAUAGUUCGGGAAACUCACUUAUUAGCCAACAUAGAACAAAAAAGGCAUGACCUAAGAACGCAAGCUUAAUGAGCAGCACAUAGUCAGAUCAAACCAAACUUUAGGUGUUUUUGCCAUCUUCAUCUAGUGGUAUUUGACUCUUCUAGAACUACUUUUCUAGUGACCCCCUUGUAUAUAUACGUACAUGCAUUAAGACGAUCCAGCUCCUCCCGAUGCUCAUUCAGCACUGCUCGAACGACAUCACCAAUGGAGACCAUGCCAAUCAUACCUUUGUCAUCAACCACAGGGAUAUGCCUAAUGCGGUCGUCUACAGAUAAAAAAAGUCAUAACAACAGUGUUAUCAGUCAAUCUAUCUACGCGAGCAACUAAUUGUACUUACAGAACAAACCUGUCAUAAGCUGCAUGGCCCGCAGAACCUUGGUAUCUGGUGUCACAGUGAUCAAUUUAUUCUGGUCAUAAGAAACCAACGAUACUUUGUCAUAAGGCAGAAUGCAAAUGAAGGAUAAAAUCUUAGUCCAUGUCACCAUUGAACGACAGGUUUGGUACUGUACUGGUAUCAUAUGAUGAAGCAAGUAUCGAUAUGGUACAGUAAAAUCGAUACAGACCAUUAUUAGAACGGAGGGAGAGAGAGAGAGACUAGCUGGAGAUAGUGAGUACAAAAUAACGCAGGAAUGUAUCGGAGGAAAGGCAGCGGUAGGCCGUGACGUGAUAAAGAGAAUGGGUUAGAUUACACGAUUUAUCUAAUUAGAUAAAAUAUAUUAUAAAUAUGAUUUAUUUUGAUCAUGAUUAUUAAUUAAUAAAAAAAAUUAAUUAUAGUAUAAUUCUUUAUAAUAUAUUUUGAUAUGAAACUUCCUUAAUUAUUUAUAUUAGACUAUUUUCUCUCGUCUAUAAAAUGACAUGAUCUUUUAAAGACUCGACGUGAAUUCACAGAUAAUUAAAUACAUGAUAUGUAAAUAAAUAAAUAAAGAUGGAGAUAUAUGAUAUUAUUGGGAGAUUACAUACAUUUUCUCAUAUCACAUUAAUCACGUGAACUAGUUAAUGAGAUAUUACAUAUCUUUUCUCAUCUUCCUUUUAUUCUUAAUCAAUCGCUUAUAACAGUCAUGUGAAGGAUAAGAAAAGAUGAAAAUAUGAGUUUAGUUCUCCUUGCAUACUGGCAUCGUUGUAACUUUUGAAUUCGACAAUGGUGCACCUGCAUAUCACAUAAAAUUUUUUUGAAUGAUAUCUAAAGGUACGCUUCAUAAAUUUGAUCUAUUAUUAUUUGAUUUUAUUUUUUUAUAUUAUAGUUUUUUGCAUAACAAUAACAUAAAAUUAGUUUUUUAUGUUUAUAAUUGGUAUCAAAACCAAAUUUAUGAAAUCAAAUACUUUAGAUAUAUUUGUUAGCACAUUUCACUAUGUUGUUCGAUUUUGAUUUGCAAUGCUUAAACGAUUCAUGUGUAUUACUAAUCUACUUUUAUAUUUAGUUUAACAUAUCGUCUGUGGGUGAUAUAAGAUUCUUUGUGUUUGAUCGAUGGACUAUUGUCGAUAAUUUACUAUUAGCAAUAGUAUUAUUAAGGGUGAUGGUCUUCGAUGGUCGCCAGCCCAAUCAUGGGCAACAAUUGCAUAUGCAGCGAAAGCUUUGUAGAUUACGACAACCUUAUGGCAGAUGCAAUUUGUCUUAUGGCUACGGUGGCUAUGCAACACUACUGCUUGCGAUGGCUUUGGCUAUUGUCACUACAUACGGUGGCUAUAGUAACGUCGCUGCGUGUAAUAACUACAGUAAUGCCAUUGCCUAUGUGGCUACAACGAUUGUUGUUGCUUGAGGCAACUGUAGCAGCAUCGUCACUACUUGUAGUAGUUGUAGCAAUGUUGAUGUGACAACAUAUGUUGCCACACUCGGUGUCACUAAAAGCCAAAGACCAAUGACGUCAUCGGGCAAUGUGUGUGUACACAAUCACGUUGCGACGACUAUGGGGGUCACCUUGAGUCGCACAUGCGUGGUAACAAUUGUUUGAGGCGGGGUGACGACCCACAAGCGAUGAUCACUCAUGACAGUGAUUGUGCGAAGGGAGUAGAAUUAGGGGUGUUUUUUUAAUAAAAGAAUAUUUUUACCCUACAUAAUUAGAAAAAAAAUUAGCUUGUGUCCUUUUGACAAUUUUGAUCUUCACAAAUUAGAUAUAUUUUUACAUAUCAUAACAAAAUUAUAUUUUUACCCUUGAAAAAUUAAAAUUUUCUAACUUGUCUUCAAUGAUAAAAUUGAUUAAUUUGAUUUAUUUUAAUCAAAUAUUUUGAUCGGACUUUAUCAUUAUUGUAUUUUGACUACUUGACUAUAUUUAGGUUUGAUCAAUUAAGUUUUGAUCGAUUUCCACAAAAAGUCAAAAUUUGAUUUUAAUCAACAUUAAUCUUAAUGAGCCUAACUGGGUAAAUGUUCAACUCAAAUCUAUGAGCCUAAUUUGGGUAACUUAAUUUUGGGUCUAGUCAAUUAAAUAUGGUUGAUUAAUAUAAGAGUUCGAUACGAAAUUUUAAAAUAUAGAUAAAUCAUGAUUUUCUUUGAUAGUUUUCUUAUAUGACAUCGAUAAAAUUUUAUAUGUGAUAAAUAAAAAAAUAAUUAUUAUUCUUGAAUAUUUGUUUGAUUAUUCACAUGCAUAUGUUUAAAAUUAUAAAAUGAUAUUUAUUUUUCACAUAAAAACAUAAUUUUUGUUUUUUUUCAUUAUUAUAGUUUUCAUGUGUUUUUCUGAUUAAUAUUUAAUUAUUAUUAUUAUUUAAAUAUUUUAAUAUAAGUUAAAUAAGAAAUUAGGUGAAUAUUCUUUGUAACUCAUAUUUCUAAAUUUUAUCUGAUUGGUAACUAAAGAUAUAUUUAUAAGGUAUGAAUUAUAAUAAAAUAUUAUAAUUUAUAUAAAAUAUAAUAUUUUAAAUUAUAUUAGAUAUUGUUGUAUGGGUCGGUGGCCUAGGGUUAGGUCUUAUAGAUAGGCGACUGAGUCUCUCGAACUCGUAGGCGACGCCGAGGAUGGGUACGAUGGAUUUGACGGAGGAGGGGACGAGCUCGCAGUCGGGCGGGGCAGGCGCAUCCUCCUCCUGCUGCACGUCCAGCAUCGUCGGCAUCCGCGUCAUCUUCCUAGAGGGUGCUUUCCGGAGCUUCAGCCCACCGGCGCCCUCCCCUCCUCCGUGGUUGCUGCCGCUCGCCAUCAAGCCCUGCCUCCCUUCUUUUCCUUCCUCGCUUCUCUUCUUCUCGUCCCAAGCAAAUCUUUAAGGGUUUUUUUUGUGGCAGAAUAGUGUCUUUAGCUUUUCCUUUCUGCGCUCCACCAGCUGUACUGUUCUUUUCCGGGUUUCGAUUUGGCGAUGGGGGGAUCGAAGGAAGGAAUGUGGUACAGGAAAGGAAGAGACGGAGAGAAAAAUAAAAACGAAGGUGGAUGCGAUUGUGAGCGGGAGUCAGGCAAGGACGUAAUUAAUUGGCCAAGCGGACUGGGUUUCGUGUUUCGGACGGCAAGGAUCGAGUCGAUGCUCCGCUUGCCGCCCAGGGCUACCGUAGGAUAUUCGAAAAAGCCAAAACUUAUAGUCAUUUCGUGGAAGACAUGCAUGCAGUGCAUGCGAACGUGGAGUAGCAGUAAGCAAACCAAAUGAAUAAAAAGACGAGGAGAAGGUGGUCUAUAACCGAGACAUGAAUCUUAAACCUCACAGCUUCACAGAUCAUUUUAAAUCAUUUAAUCCAAAUAAAAACAUCCUCCACCUUCACUUCUAUGGUCAAUAUAUUAUCUCGCCAGUUGCUCUUUACGUGGAUGUCUCUCCUCAGUUCUUCAAAGUAGAAGCCAGGUCCAGGCUAUUGCUAACCAGUUUCGAAAGGUGGUCGUUGAUAUCGGCAACAGGUGACACCAAACCCGGCCAAUCCUGGAACGCAUCAGCGCAGUUGGCCUUGAGGCUCAUCGCGGCGGAGAGGUUCACCAUGAGGUCAGUGUGCGCUGCAUCCUUGAGGUUCUUGGCUGACAACUGGAGACUGUCAGCUACGGAGCUGAAGGCAUCACGGCAAACACACAGGGUGGACUUCAUCAGCUUCUCGGUGCCAGGGGCUUUCAUAAGCUUGGCGGAAAUGGCUGCUGCCUCCUUGGCUUUGGACGUGGCCACGUCGAUGGAUGCGGCGGUCAGGGACCCGACCGACGCUGAGGGAGCAAGGGAAUUGCAGAGAUCGGGGUACGAUGCUUUUUUGCAUUCGGAGGUGGCGUCGAAGAGGGAGCGGUCAUUGACGCGGCGGAGGACGCGAGCUUCUGUUAUGGUGGCCCCGAGGAGGAGGAGCAGGGCGGCAGGCAGGAUGAGUGAGAGAGAGGCGGUUUGGUGCUGUCGACCCAUGGUGGCUCUCUUGGAGGGUUUGGAAACUGAGGAGAGCCAAAGAGCAGUGGCAGAGAAGAGGGAGGCGGAGGUUGGAGAUAGAUUUGCAAGUGUUUAUAUAGGAGGAGCUUGGAUAGGUGUGCGGAGAUGGAUGUGGCCAAAUGUACGUGCAGGAGAGAGGAGGAGGAGGGAAGAAGGAUCCGUUCUCCUGGUUUAUCUCCGAACCAUACGUCGAUGUAUGGCUGACCAUAGAUGUCACUGUGGGUGCGACUUGGUCAGAACUAAAAAAAAACCUAACGAUUCACUCGUUGCUCUUUAAAUACUAGGAAAGAGGACUCCUGGCAUAAUAAAAUAGUUUUUUCUUUUUUCUCGCCUUAAUAUUCAACUCCAACACAAUCUAACUCUUACGAUCGGCGGAGGAUACAUUCUUAGAGACCGUGUUGGCUCGUAGGUUUGUGAAUUUAGAGUGCUUGGCUCGUAGCUUACCUCCACAUCAUUUACCUCAAGUAUUCCAAGAGCGUGCUUACAAAAAAGGGACCGUGUUGGCUCUAUUAUCCUAUAUUUAUAUGAACGAACUGAAUCCGACAGCUUCGCAUCGGUCUUAGGAGGGCUUUCCAAAGCGUCCAACCAGGCCUCACAACCUACUCCAGAAGAAACUACAAUCACCAUCUGAUAUAUUCCCAACGACGAGCAGUGCCAUCCUUCGACGGGCCCAACAUGACCUGCCUUUGAAUUCCACUGAGACUAACUUGCGUUGUAAGCUCUCAUUUCCAUCAUAAUCCAAACAAUUUAAUCUUACGGCUUUGAAAAUAUUGUUAAACAGACAUCAUCAAUACAAAAAGAAGUCAAUCGGUUAUCAUCUGAGAUUCUAAACAUGCCAUAAUAAAAUGCCCGAUUAAUCAUACUCUAAUCUCUUACGAGGUGGAUCUCUGAUGUCACAUGGAAGACAGUUCGGAUUAAGCAUGCACACAUUUGGCUUGACAUCCUUAUAAGAAGAAGGUGUAUGAUGCAGAUACUAAUAAAUCUUUGGAGAUGAAUAAAAAAAAUCCCAUCAGUAUAUACCCAAAAGAAAAACGCUGAGUUGCACAACAAUAAUGACUAAUAAAUAAAUCUGCACAGGCGAAUUAUUACAAUGAAUCACAAAUAAACAAAGACCUAAAAUGCAGGUUAUUUUAAACCAUUAGAAUCUCGACCAGAUAUUCACAAACUCGAACACCUAGAUUCGACAAUACAAAACAUUCCCAAGAAUAUUUACAUUGAAAACAUUACUUUUUGUUGGUAAUCAACACUGGAAAAGCCUGAAUAGUUCACGAUAAUUAACCACACAAAGAGCCACAACCAGCCACAAUAAUAACUCUGAUGAACACAAAAAAAAGUCUGAUGAGCUUGCAUAAACCCACUGAUUAGCCAACAUAGAACAAGAAAAGCAUGACAUAAGCAUGCAAGUUUGAUGAGUAGCACAUGGUCAGAUCAAAGCAAACUUUCGGUUUUUUGCCAUCUUUAUCUAGCAUUAUUAGACUCUGCUAGAACUACUUUUCCAGUGACCCCCUUGUAUACAUACAUGCAUUAAGGCAGUUCAGCUCCACGUGAUGCUCAUUCACCAAUGAGCCUACUGAGAAACUCACUUAUUAGCCAACAUAGGACAAGAGAAGCAUGACCUAAGCACACAUGCUUAACAAAAAGCACACUAUCUGCUAAAAGCAAACUUUAGUUUUUUUCGUCAUCAUCAUUGAACAUUAUUAGACUCUAGAUCUACUUUGCUAGUAACCCCCUUGUAUAUAUGCAUUAAGGCGGUCCAGCUCCUCCCGAUGCUCAUUCACCACUGCUCGAACAACAUCACCAAUGGAGACCAUGCCAAUCAUACCUUUGUCAUCAACCACAGGGAUAUGCCUAAUGCGGUUGUCUACAGAUAGAAAAAGUCAUAACAACAAUGUUAUCAGUCAAUCUAGCCACACAAGCAACUAAUUGUACUUACAGAACAAACCUGUCAUAAGCUGCAUGGCCCGCAGAACCUUGGUAUCUGGUGUCACAGUGAUCAAUUUAUUCUGGUCAUAAGAAACCAAAAAUACUUUGUCAUAAGGCAGAAAAUGUAAUGCAAAUGAAGGAAAAAAUCUUAGUACAUAUCACCAUUGAACGACAGGAUUCGUACAGUACUGGUAUCAUACAAUGAACCGAGUAUCAAUAUGGUACGGUAAAAUCAAUAUAGACCACUAUUAGAAUAGAGGGAGAGAGAGAAGAAGAGGAAGAGGAGAUAGCGAGUACAAAGUAACACAGAUAUGUAGCAGAGGAGGAGAGGCAGCAUUGGGUGGUGAUGUGACAAGGAGAAGCAACAACAACAAGAAUGAUGGGUGCUGAUGCCAGAUGUUAG